CAGUAGCCGCGGUAAUACGAAGGGGGCUAGCGUUGUUCGGAUUUACUGGGCGUAAAGCGCACGUAGGCGGAUCGAUCAGUCAGGGGUGAAAUCCUGGAGCUCAACUCCAGAACUGCCUUUGAUACUGUCGAUCUCGAGUCCGGAAGAGGUGAGUGGAACUCCUAGUGUAGAGGUGGAAUUCGUAGAUAUUAGGAAGAACACCAGUGACGAAGGCGGCUCACUGGUCCGGUACUGACGCUGAGGUGCGAAAGCGUGGGGAGCAAACAGGAUUAGAGACCCGUGUAGUCCCUGUCUCUUAUAC
This 301-nucleotide ribosomal RNA is filed under the name uncultured bacterium. Its description in RNAcentral is "partial 16S ribosomal RNA". It matches the Rfam family "Bacterial small subunit ribosomal RNA", at positions 509 to 807 of the family's 1533-position model. The record is from RNAcentral.